This 492-nucleotide ribosomal RNA is filed under the name uncultured bacterium. RNAcentral describes it as "partial 16S ribosomal RNA". It matches the Rfam family "Bacterial small subunit ribosomal RNA", at positions 29 to 507 of the family's 1533-position model. The record is from RNAcentral.
AGUGAACGCUGGCGGUAGGCCUAACACGUGCAAGUCGAACGGCAGCACAGUAAGAGCUUGCUCUUACGGGUGGCGAGUGGCGGACGGGUGAGGAAUACAUCGGAAUCUACUUUUUCGUGGGGGAUAACGUAGGGAAACUUACGCUAAUACCGCAUACGACCUACGGGUGAAAGCAGGGGAUCUUCGGACCUUGCGCGAUUGAAUGAGCCGAUGUCGGAUUAGCUAGUUGGCGGGGUAAAGGCCCACCAAGGCGACGAUCCGUAGCUGGUCUGAGAGGAUGAUCGGCCACACUGGAACUGAGACACGGUCCAGACUCCUACGGGAGGCAGCAGUGGGGAAUAUUGGACAAUGGGCGCAAGCCUGAUCCAGCCAUACCGCGUGGGUGAAGAAGGCCUUCGGGUUGUAAAGCCCUUUUGUUGGGAAAGAAAAGCAGCAGGUUAAUACCCCGCUGUUCUGACGGUACCCAAAGAAUAAGCACCGGCUAACUUCGUG